RNAcentral lists this ribosomal RNA (726 nucleotides) under Streptomyces sp. Its description in RNAcentral is "bacterial SSU rRNA". It matches the Rfam family "Bacterial small subunit ribosomal RNA", at positions 137 to 876 of the family's 1533-position model. Lineage: Bacteria; Bacillati; Actinomycetota; Actinomycetes; Kitasatosporales; Streptomycetaceae. The record is from RNAcentral.
UCUGGGACAAGCCCUGGAAACGGGGUCUAAUACCGGAUACCACUCUCUUCCGCAUGGGAGAGGGUUGAAAGCUCCGGCGGUGAAGGAUGAGCCCGCGGCCUAUCAGCUUGUUGGUGGGGUGAUGGCCCACCAAGGCGACGACGGGUAGCCGGCCUGAGAGGGCGACCGGCCACACUGGGACUGAGACACGGCCCAGACUCCUACGGGAGGCAGCAGUGGGGAAUAUUGCACAAUGGGCGAAAGCCUGAUGCAGCGACGCCGCGUGAGGGAUGACGGCCUUCGGGUUGUAAACCUCUUUCAGCAGGGAAGAAGCGAAAGUGACGGUACCUGCAGAAGAAGCGCCGGCUAACUACGUGCCAGCAGCCGCGGUAAUACGUAGGGCGCAAGCGUUGUCCGGAAUUAUUGGGCGUAAAGAGCUCGUAGGCGGCUUGUCACGUCGGAUGUGAAAGCCCGGGGCUUAACCCCGGGUCUGCAUUCGAUACGGGCAGGCUAGAGUGUGGUAGGGGAGAUCGGAAUUCCUGGUGUAGCGGUGAAAUGCGCAGAUAUCAGGAGGAACACCGGUGGCGAAGGCGGAUCUCUGGGCCAUUACUGACGCUGAGGAGCGAAAGCGUGGGGAGCGAACAGGAUUAGAUACCCUGGUAGUCCACGCCGUAAACGUUGGGAACUAGGUGUUGGCGACAUUCCACGUCGUCGUGCCGCAGCUAACGCAUUAAGUUCCCCGCCUGG